Molecule: unclassified non-coding RNA, 388 nt
Filed under: soil metagenome
Description: partial contains 5.8S ribosomal RNA, internal transcribed spacer 2, and large subunit ribosomal RNA
Rfam family: 5.8S ribosomal RNA (bases 1-121)
Source: RNAcentral
GAUGAAGAACGCAGUGAAAUGCGAUAAGUAAUGUGAAUUGCAGAAUUCAGUGAAUCAUCGAAUCUUUGAACGCACCUUGCGCUCUUUGGCCAUUCCAAGGAGCAUGCCUGUUUGAGUGUCAUUGAAUCCUCAAGGGCCCCCUUUCUGAGGGGGGGGGACUUUGGACUUGGGAGCGCUGCGGCCGCCGGGCUUUCCUCCGGCUCCGCUCUCCUCAAACGCAUCAGUAGGGCCCCUCAUCCCUUCGGGUCUUUUGCGGCGUUGAUAGUCGUCUACGCCUCUGCCCCGUCGGGUCUCACCUGCUCCUCAACCCCACAUUCUCCUUUGAACGCUUUGACCUCAAAUCAGGUAGGACUACCCGCUGAACUUAAGCAUAUCAAUAAGCGGAGGA